This 344-nucleotide ribosomal RNA is filed under the name uncultured eukaryote. Its description in RNAcentral is "SSU rRNA". It matches the Rfam family "Eukaryotic small subunit ribosomal RNA", at positions 594 to 945 of the family's 1831-position model. The record is from RNAcentral.
AAAGUGCAUAGAAUUAUUGCUGCGGUUAAAAAGCUCGUAGUUGGAUCUGUGCCAUAGGACGUGGUCCACCUUCGGGUGCGUACUACGCUCCUAGGCUUUUUGUCGGUUUUCCCGUCGUAGCCUUCACUGGUUGCGGCGGGUGGCUGACGAGUUUACUUUGAGAAAAUCAGAGUGCUCAAUACAGGCGUCUAGCUUGAAUGAUUGUGCAUGGAAUAAUAGAAAAGGAUUUCGGUCCUCUUUUAUUGGUUUUGUGGACUGAGAUAAUGGUUAACAGGGACAAACGGGGGCAUUCGUAUCGCUGCGUGAGAGGUGAAAUUCUUGGACCGUAGCGAGACGCCCUACUG